RNAcentral lists this ribosomal RNA (498 nucleotides) under uncultured bacterium. RNAcentral describes it as "partial 16S ribosomal RNA". It matches the Rfam family "Bacterial small subunit ribosomal RNA", at positions 30 to 523 of the family's 1533-position model. The record is from RNAcentral.
AUUGAACGCUGGCGGCAGGCCUAACACAUGCAAGUCGAGCGGUUGAGGUAGCUUGCUACCGAUACAGCGGCGGACGGGUGAGUAAUACAUGGGAAUCUGCCUGGUAGUGGGGGACAACGUUUCGAAAGGAACGCUAAUACCGCAUACGCCCUACGGGGGAAAGGGGGGGAUCUUCGGACCUCUCGCUAUCAGAUGAGCCCAUGUCAGAUUAGCUUGUUGGUGAGGUAAAGGCACACCAAGGCGACGAUCUGUAACUGGUCUGAGAGGAUGAUCAGUCACACUGGAACUGAGACACGGUCCAGACUCCUACGGGAGGCAGCAGUGGGGAAGAUUGGACAAUGGGCGCAAGCCUGAUCCAGCCAUGCCGCGUGUGUGAAGAAGGCCUUAGGGUUGUAAAGCACUUUCAGUGGGGAGAAAGGCCUUUUACUUAAUACGUAAGAGGAUUGAUGUUACCCACAGAAGAAGCACCGGCUAACUCCGUGCCAGCAGCCGCGGUAA